AGCACGAACUGGCAAACUGUUUGAAAGAACAGGACGCAAAACGACCGGCCUAAGGUUUUUACUAUGGCAGCGGCGUUACCGAA
RNAcentral lists this non-coding RNA (83 nucleotides) under Vibrio stylophorae. RNAcentral's name for it is "c-di-GMP-I". It matches the Rfam family "c-di-GMP-I riboswitch aptamer". From Rfam's summary of the family: GEMM was predicted in a large-scale screen for bacterial structured RNA regulatory elements. Lineage: Bacteria; Pseudomonadati; Pseudomonadota; Gammaproteobacteria; Vibrionales; Vibrionaceae. The record is from RNAcentral.